Molecule: microRNA precursor, 61 nt
Filed under: Pristionchus pacificus
Lineage: Eukaryota; Metazoa; Nematoda; Chromadorea; Rhabditida; Neodiplogasteridae
Description: mir-8364 microRNA precursor family
Rfam family: mir-8364 microRNA precursor family
Source: Rfam by way of RNAcentral
UCUUCAUUACACAUACUCUCUCACCGGUUAGAGAGGCGACAGAGUAUGCAAAAUGAAGAGA